ACAUCGUGGACGAACAUCCCGCAAUAAUCUGUGGAGAUUUUAAUGAGGAUCACCUCUGCGCUGGGAAUAAAACUGUUCUGGAACUGUUUCAGUCCAAAGGAUACACACAACUGAUCACCACAGCAACAACCAAAAAGAACACUCUAUUGGAUCACAUUUACGUCUCUCAUCCGGAUUUGUGCCUUCAGUCAGGUGUCUUGCAUACCUAUCAUAGCUAUCACAAUCCCGUGUACUGUGUUUUGCGUAAAUGAGUUUUUUUUUAGUGGACAGAUAUUGUUGUGUUUGGUGCUAGGUUAGUAUGCCAUACGGAACCGUUUGCCACUGAAACUGCUUAACGCACCAGUGGGGCUUCGACAGCCUUAUAAAACGAACGGUUGGGCGCGUAUGGUCGGGUUGUCGGGUAGUAUGCCAUACGGAACCGUUGCCAAUGGACCUGGAUACAUCACAUCAGCGGGGCUUUGAAAGCCUUCAUCAAACGGGUUGGCGCGUAUGGUCGUGUUGUGGUUAGAUUGUGGUGUUAGAGAUUGUGAUUAGGAGAUUGCGGUUAGGUCAUGCCAAGGGUUUAUACCACUGAGCUACGAAGAAGGAGCACCCUCAGCAGCAGCAGGAAGGACGGAGGAGGAGUGUGACAGCUCCAGGGAGGACAUAGACAGUCAGAGCGACAGUGGCAUUGCAGGAAGAAUUGGGAGACCAUAGCAGUCGUGUCUGGAUAUGAGUGUGCAAUAUACCUUCUAAAGCUAAGUGUUAAAAGAUUUUAUUUCAGUCUGUGUACCACUGCUUUUCAUAACUGCGUUUGAAUGGAAAUGUUAUAUUUGAACCUCUAAUUUUGAUUUUUAUGUUUUUUAGGAACCAGCCAAAUGAAGUGAGAUUGUCUGAGAAGAUCACGUGUGCUACAUCAAUGACGAUGACGAGCUGGAUACCAGAUUAUGUGCCAAUUUCUUUCCAGAAGAGGUCCAAAUAUCUACGGCAUUGAAGACAACUCCGAAGAAUGAAGAAGCAGAGGAAGAAGCACACUGAGGUCAAUACUACUGAUAAGGAUAUCCAGGGAGACAGAUGCGUGCCAUUCAGCAUAGAAACAUCAGAGACACAGUUCACCUGAGCGCAGAGGGAAACCAGCUUCUCCUGAGCAAACCUGACAAAUGUUCUGCGGGUGGAACUCCAAAGUUGAAACCAAAUGCCUUUUUAAAGGCAACAACGGCUCUUCUCAGAGCUACCCACUCAUUCAAAAACAAGAGCAUUUUUACAAGUUUAUCGAUCUUUCUGAUAAGGUCUAGUGUUCAGUGCAUCUUAUCAUACAAUGGUUUGUUUAAAAGCUUAGAUUGUUUAAAAGUGUAUGAUCUCAGAGGUGAGAGUUCAAAAAUUGUCUCUUGCGAGAUACAAACUUUACGCUCCAUACGUCUUGGAGAAUCAGAAAAUUCACUAUUAUUAUAAUAUUUGUUUUACCUCCUCUACCUCAGGAUAUCCAGCCUGUUUGCAGGGCCAGUUCCAGUGGCUAGAUGGCGGGAGAUGCUCCAUUACACCAUAUUGCAUAUCAACAUUGGAUGCACAAUUAAUUCAUUUUAAUAUAUUCAUUAAUGAUUUUACUAUCAUAUUAAAUAAUUGCUUACACACUCUAUAUAUAUAUUAAUAUAUCAUAUAUUUGCUUAAAUAAAGUUAUUAUGUGUACGCCGAGCCAGAGGAGAAUGGGCCCCCCCCUGACGAGUCUGGUUUCUCUCAAGGUUUUUUUUAAUCUCCCUUAAGGAGGUUUUUUUUCCUUGCCACUGUCGCCACUGGCUUGCUCAAUGGGGGUGUUGUGCCAGGUCCUAUCCCUUCCAGGUCCCUACCGACCAGGGUUUCCAAAACAAUGGUUUGCAAAUUGAUGGGUAUGUUAUUAUUAUUUAAAUGUAAAUGUUUACAUACAAAUGUAAAUUAAAUUAAUUUGAAAUCAAAAUUAAAUCAUGUUAUAGCUUAGCACUUAAAGCUGUGAGCCCUGUGAAGCCGUUGUAUAUAGUGAUAUCAGAACAGCUAACAGCGUUGUUCAAAUAUUCUGAGAUCAGUGUAAAUCAUGACUUCACUGGAGUUAUGAGAUCAUUCCUUUUUAUAAAUGCACGCAGCAAUACACCAAAUCAUCGACAGUAAAACAGUUUUUUAUUUAAAAGUUACUUUAGUGAGUAGAAAUUUUUACCAGUAUUCUGUUAAAAUUAAAGUUUAGGGUUAGAAAUGAGACAAGUGAAGAAUUUAAAACAAGAAUUUUGAAAAGUGAAGGAUUUACAACAUUAUGUAAAAUAAGUUAUCAGAUAAGCUUCUUUAUCAAAUAUUAAUUGUAUUAUUUGCCACAGAAUGCAUUUCUGUUUUUAUUUUUAUAAUCUUAAAGAUGAUGCUGUAAAACUAAUUUUAAUAUGAAGUAGAUCUAACAAUUAUAAUCUAAUAACAUCACAAUAGGAUCUAAUCAUUGGCUGGGUGGGAUUUGGCACAACAGGCGUUUUUAUAAAUCUUGAAUAAACAUUUUGUUGAAUU
This is a long non-coding RNA of Pimephales promelas (fathead minnow), 2496 nucleotides long. RefSeq lists it as uncharacterized. The record is from RefSeq and is a predicted model, not a curated record. Lineage: Eukaryota; Metazoa; Chordata; Actinopteri; Cypriniformes; Leuciscidae.